GUGCCAGCAGCCGCGGUAAUACGGAGGGAGCUAGCGUUGUUCGGAAUUACUGGGCGUAAAGCGCACGUAGGCGGCGAUUUAAGUCAGAGGUGAAAGCCCGGGGCUCAACCCCGGAACUGCCUUUGAGACUGGAUUGCUUGAAUCCUGGAGAGGUGAGUGGAAUUCCGAGUGUAGAGGUGAAAUUCGUAGAUAUUCGGAAGAACACCAGUGGCGAAGGCGGCUCACUGGACAGGUAUUGACGCUGUGGUGCGAAAGCGUGGGGAGCAAACAGGAUUAGAUACCCGGGUAGUCC
This 292-nucleotide ribosomal RNA is filed under the name uncultured bacterium. RNAcentral's name for it is "partial 16S ribosomal RNA". It matches the Rfam family "Bacterial small subunit ribosomal RNA", at positions 505 to 796 of the family's 1533-position model. The record is from RNAcentral.